GCGUGUUUCAAUCGCCCUGUCAAACCUCCAGUCGACCGGUCUAAUCUAGGCCACUACACAAGGAAGUGUAUCCGGGUGUGCGGGUAGAACUAUGUGGACACUCACGAGUGUCAUGUAGAGGGGAAGGUCCGGGUUAGAUCCGGCAAGAAGCCAACCGUGACCGGUUCAAUGUUCGUCACAUGCUGUACUUCAUUACACUGUUAGCGCCAGUCAAGCAAGACUCUCGGAUGUUUCUGGAGCGUCGCCAUAUACGUCACGACAAACAACACUCUGAAAGCGAAACUAUUCCUAUAAAACCUCUGUUUACUGUAAAUAAAGGCGAAAAAGGUCAUGUUGUAGAAUAGAAGAGAUUAUCAAAGCUUUGAAUCAAUCUAUUCAACGUAUUCUAAAACUAUUUGUCUUAACAUAACGCCAUAGUAUAUAAGCAUGUAUGAUCUACAUUAUGUCGACAUGUAUUAUGGGCUGGAGGCCUGAUUACUGAAUAAAUCUGUCUGUCUGUCUGUCUGAA
Long non-coding RNA from Haliotis rufescens (red abalone), 508 nucleotides. RefSeq lists it as uncharacterized. The transcript is spliced from 2 exons. NCBI's taxonomy places the organism in Eukaryota, Metazoa, Mollusca, Gastropoda, Lepetellida, Haliotidae. The record is from RefSeq and is a predicted model, not a curated record.